GAUGAAGAACGUAGCGAAAUGCGAUAAGUAGUGUGAAUUGCAGAAUUCCGUGAAUCAUCGAAUCUUUGAACGCACAUUGCGCCUUCUGGUAUUCCGGAAGGCAUGCCUGUUCGAGAGUCAUUAACAACCGUUUCGAUCCCUUUCUUUCAGAAAUUACAAAGAGGAAAAGGGUUUGGUUAUGGUGGAGGAGGGAAAGGGAGCGUUUAGCCUGUAAAAAAAGAGGCUGUGUUCCGCCUCCCCCCCAAAAUUGUACAGGCGGUCGUGUGCGCCCACGCAUCGAGGUGUUGUAAAAGCUGCCACGGCACUUUUCACCUGUGCAGUGCGAGAUUGGCCAGCCGGUUUAAAAACCCCUCCAAACAAUCAAAGGUUGACCUCGGAUCAGGUAGGGAUACCCGCUGAACUUAAGCAUAUCAAUAGGCGGAGGA
This 425-nucleotide unclassified non-coding RNA is filed under the name soil metagenome. Its description in RNAcentral is "partial contains 5.8S ribosomal RNA, internal transcribed spacer 2, and large subunit ribosomal RNA". The stretch from base 1 to 120 matches the Rfam family "5.8S ribosomal RNA", at positions 35 to 154 of the family's 154-position model. The record is from RNAcentral.